ACGGUCACAUCACGCUCAAACACCGGUUCCCGUACGAUCACAGAAGUUAAGCAAUGUCGACCCUGGUCAUUACCUAGAUGGUUGAGUGUUUGGGAAUGCCAGUGC
Non-coding RNA from Acanthosepion pharaonis, 105 nucleotides. NCBI's taxonomy places the organism in Eukaryota, Metazoa, Mollusca, Cephalopoda, Sepiida, Sepiidae. The record is from the annotation of a GenBank genome assembly.